GCGUAAGCGCAGAAACGAGUGCGUGGCUAGGAACCACGAGGUCGAGAGUUCGAAUCUCUCCGGGCGCGCCA
Molecule: transfer RNA, 71 nt
Filed under: Candidatus Poribacteria bacterium
Lineage: Bacteria; Candidatus Poribacteria
Description: tRNA-Pro
Rfam family: tRNA
About the family: Transfer RNA (tRNA) molecules are approximately 80 nucleotides in length. Their secondary structure includes four short double-helical elements and three loops (D, anti-codon, and T loops).
Source: RNAcentral